UACGUAGGGUGCGAGCGUUAAUCGGAAUUACUGGGCGUAAAGCGUGCGUAGGCGGUUCGUUAAGUCAGCUGUGAAAGCCCCGGGCUCAACCUGGGAACUGCAUUUGUGACUGCAUCGCUGGAGUGCGGCAGAGGGGGAUGGAAUUCCGCGUGUAGCAGUGAAAUGCGUAGAUAUGCGGAGGAACACCGAUGGCGAAGGCAAUCCCCUGGGCCUGCACUGACGCUCAUGCACGAAAGCGUGGGGAGCAAACAGG
This 253-nucleotide ribosomal RNA is filed under the name uncultured bacterium. RNAcentral's name for it is "partial 16S ribosomal RNA". It matches the Rfam family "Bacterial small subunit ribosomal RNA", at positions 524 to 776 of the family's 1533-position model. The record is from RNAcentral.